CGGCCAUCGUGGGCAGGGGAGGUGGAGACCCCUUGAAGCUGAUCUGUAUUGCAGGGUGUGGAGUAGGGCUGGGGGUUCCUGGGCCUCUAAUCUUUAAAAUCCAGCAAGAAGGUAGUGUACUGUGAGCCAGGCCCAUCAUUCUCUUUCCUCCCUGAAACCAUCGAUGAGUCUUCCCCUAAGGGCUGGAGGGGAGGGUCCCCUUUCUUUGACUUCCCUUGCAGUUCCUCUGAUGCUGAAGAGUAGGGCUUGCAGGGACUCUGCCUCCUGCAGGGAGCAGCCACUGUUUCCAGGGACCCUCACAGAAGAGGAGCUAAUUUCACACUUUGGGACUCCAUAGAAGCCAGCUUCCUGGCAGUUUGAAGUGUGCUUCUCACACAUCUUCCACCAGCUUGUUUGUCUGCCUAUAUCUGAGGAUCCUUUAAAGCGAUUGAAACAAAAUUAAGGGCAGAAUGAAUCUUUGGUGAUGAAAGUGAGAAUCUGGGAGAGAUGUGAAAACUGGAAGAGAAACAGGAAGUACCUCCAGGAUUCACCUAAAUAGAUGCUGCGGUUUCUAUCAAACCACAGGCCACCCCAGCAUCUCAGUGGCUUCUAUAGGUUGUCCUGAAAGAGCCAUGAGGCCAGGGCCCUUGAUGGAUUCCCAGAUACCAGCUGCUCCUCCAGACACCAAUUCCACCCUCCACCUUUCUGUGUCCGUCCCAGACCAAGGCAGCCCAGGAAACUCUCUAGGAGGUGUGUCUCCAGGAUAGAGGGCCAGUGGAGAAUGGCAGCCCACACUGUUAUGGGAUGAAGUGUGUCCCCCAAAAUCAACAUGUUGAAGCUCUAACCCCCAGAACCCCGGAAUAAAACUAUAUUUGGAGUUAAGAUCUUUAAAGAGGUAAUUAUGUCCUAAUGAGUUAUUUAGGGCAGACCCUAAUCCAAUAGGACUGGUAUCCUUCUAAGAAGAGGAAGGCACAUCAGAGGAGAGGCCAUGUGAGGACACCAUGGGAAGGCGGCCACCUGCAAGCCAAGGAGAGGGGCCUCAGGAGAAACCAGCCCUGCUGACACCCUGAGCUCCUUGCAAUUCCAGCCUCCUAGACUGUGAGAAAAUACACUUGUGUUAUUUAAGCCCCCCAGUCUGUGGUUCUUUGCUGU
This 1131-nucleotide long non-coding RNA is filed under the name Homo sapiens (human). RNAcentral's name for it is "non-protein coding LINC02212:12". The record is from RNAcentral. Lineage: Eukaryota; Metazoa; Chordata; Mammalia; Primates; Hominidae.